AUGUCUACUAGCCGUUGGGGCCUUUGAGGCUUUAGUGGCGCAGCUAACGCGAUAAGUAGACCGCCUGGUGAGUACGGUCGCAAGACUAAAACUCAAAUGAAUUGACGGGGGCCCGCACAAGCGGUGGAGCAUGUGGUUUAAUUCGAUGCAACGCGAAGAACCUUACCUGGCCUUGACAUACUAGAAACUUUCCAGAGAUGGAUUGGUGCCUUCGGGAAUCUAGAUACAGGUGCUGCAUUGCUGUCGUCAGCUCGUGUCGUGAGAUGUUGGGUUAAGUCCCGCAACGAGCGCAACCCUUUUCCUUACUUGCCAGCAUUUCGUAUGGGAACUUUAAGGAUACUGCCAGUGACAAACUGGAGGAAGGCGUGGACGACGUCAAGUCAUCAUGGCCCUUACGGCCAGGGCUACACACGUGCUACAAUGGUCGGUACAAAGGGUUGCUACACAGCGAUGUGAUGCUAAUCUCAAAAAGCCGAUCGUAGUCCGGAUUGGAGUCUGCAACUCGACUCCAUGAAGUCGGAAUCGCUAGUAAUCGCGGAUCAGAAUGCCGCGGUGAAUACGUUCCCGGGCCUUGUACACACCGCCCGUCACACCAUGGGAGUUUGUUGCACCAGAAGUAGCUAGCCUAACUGCAAAGAGGGCGGUUACCACGGUGUGGCCGAUGACUGGGG
RNAcentral lists this ribosomal RNA (671 nucleotides) under Acinetobacter baumannii 25307_2. Its description in RNAcentral is "bacterial SSU rRNA". It matches the Rfam family "Bacterial small subunit ribosomal RNA", at positions 809 to 1480 of the family's 1533-position model. The record is from RNAcentral. Lineage: Bacteria; Pseudomonadati; Pseudomonadota; Gammaproteobacteria; Moraxellales; Moraxellaceae.